AUGUAAACAAACCCACGUGCAUUCCUUGGACCAUCAGCUGACUGGCGGCCUCCACUUGCCUCCACUCCUGUCAAAGCUCCACAUGACCACCUAGCGCAGGCCCGGUGGAGUAUUUGCUCUGUGUUUUACGUUUUCAGUGGCUCAUCUUCACCCAGAGACCCUGAACGAGGACAUCAGUUGAGAGGAUUUAUAGACACCGGCUGUGCAGGUUGUCAUGGUCACAGGGUAUCUGAGGCUUCAACAGCAGCAGCACCACACCAAUGCCAUACCGUUUGAAGGUGACGGAGGAGGAGGUGAGGCAGGAGCUGACCAAGAUGGGCUUCACAGGACUCUCAGAUGACACCGUGGCUGCCAUGCGCAAAGACCUCCUGAAGUUGAUCAAGAGUGAUCUUCGCAAACUAAGGCAGGAGAGACGAGAUGAAACGUACACAGACAGCAGCAAUAAUCUCUCCCCUGCAGUGCCUGAUCUAACCCAACCUGCUCCCUCCAAGCACCUGGCUACAUCAAGAAAAAGACACACCAAAGAAACGUGCUACAGUUCCUUAAGUGCGUCACACUCUUCAGAGGAAAAUGACGAGAGUACAAGAGAGAGCGGCUACUCUGAAUAUGAGGAGAGUACGUCAUGCCUCUCAGAGCCAGCCAGCAUUUCACUUGGUGAUGUAAUUCCUCAGAAGCAAAUCAGUGCUGAAAUUCAGACAGAGAGAGUGAAGGAAGAACUGAAAACGAAAUCUUUGAGGGAAAAAAGCAAAGAAGUUGAUUCAAGUACCCUCAGAGAACCGAAGAUGAUAAGCAAGAAAAAGACUAAGCCAGUAGAAAAAAAAGGUUUGCCAGACUAUCCCUCGCGCCCAGACCCAGUCAGACUCUACCACUACUACAAAGCUCACUGGGACCAGUACAAGGUGCCGGGGGAAGAUCCUCGCCUGAAGCUUCGCUGGGCCAUCAGAAGUAAACUGUUUUAUGCUGAGUAGAGCUGAUGGACUUCACAGUCCUCCGUCAGGGAAGUUUUUAAGUCUCAAGAUUUUUUUAUUUUUGUAAAUGUCCUACUGAGAAUUCAUUACCUGAAGAUGCAUUCAAAUGACAUAGGAACACUAACCUCCCCAGACUGUAUACUCUUUAAAGAUGUUGUUCUCUAUAACAUUGAUGUUUAUAAAAGAAUUGCACCACUGAAUCUCAGGUUUGGCAAGAUGAAUAGUUAGUACUUGCAACAUGAUAUGCAUCCUAUGCGUGUUGUAGAUGUAAAGGUCCUUUUAAUUUCAUACAAACCAUUAAACAAAUACUGCCUCUAAGAGUGCCUUAAGAAGUCUUAGAUAUUUCUGCUAAUUGUUAUAAGAUCCUAUUUAGGGUGAUUUAAAUGUUUACCAAGUGCCUUGACCUGAUUGAAACAUAAAAUGUCUGCAAGCGGUUGUCAAGCCUAAACAGGGCAGCUCCUGUACUUUGUGAUGAUUCAGUCUUGUCAGAGCUUUUAUAUUUUAGUAUUCAAAUUCAGAUAUUCAGAAACAGAAACAUAAGCAAAGAGCUGGAAGUCUGAGCAUUAAAAGUGUUUGAUAGGAUUGAUAGUUUGUCCUGAGCUCUAUUUAACUCUUCAAUAAAAGGGAACUCCCAUUUGCUCACAUAAUUUAUUUUACAUUCGUUUCCAGUCUUUACUUGUUUCUAAAGAGGCGAUGAAUUUAUGAAAACAACAAAACUUAUAUUUGUAUCCUUUUAUUAAGAAUAGUUACAAUAAUAAUUAUACAAUGAAAAAUAUAUCUAUAUUACAAAACGUCCUCAAUCUGUACAGAUUUGUCAAAAGUUAAAUAUAACAAGCCAGGUUUACACCAGACCAGGCCAGGGCUGUGUGGUUGUCAUGUACUGGAAGGUGGAGUUGCUUCAGCACUCGUCCUCUGCAACCCAACUAUUGCAUGUCCAUAGCUAGUCUUGACUCUGACAUGGCCUUCUGAUAAGUACUCUUCCUAAAUAUAAUGUAAGUAACAAUUAAAUGGGGCAGUACUGAGGAGCCUCUGAAGUACAAAGCUGACUCCGAGGCAACUGUUCUUGUAGCUUCAUCGCCACAAAAGAAUUAAUGGAAUGCCACAACUAUAACGGUGGACAGUCUUUUUAGGAUUAAGUUGGGAUUGAGCUUCUCUGCCAAUGUUAGGGAAGGUAAUGUUGUACCACUUCCAGAUAAUGAAACGAAAUCAUCCACUUUCCCUAUCCUCAUAAUGUACUUGCAAAUUUAUAAUAAAAUUUGUGCAUGUAAAAUUAUCAUAUUGAUUUCACAAUAAAGAUACCAAGUCCUCA
Molecule: long non-coding RNA, 2277 nt
Organism: Eriocheir sinensis (Chinese mitten crab)
Lineage: Eukaryota; Metazoa; Arthropoda; Malacostraca; Decapoda; Varunidae
Exons: 5
Source: RefSeq, a predicted model, not a curated record